AGUUUGAUUAUGGCUCAGAUUGAACGCUGGCCGGGAUGCUUUACACAUACCAAGUCGAACGGCAGCACGGACUUCGGUCUGGUGGCGAGUGGCGAACGGGUGAGUAAUGUAUCCGGAACGUGCCUAGUAGCGGGGGAUAACUACGCGAAAGCGUAGCUAAUACCCGCAUACGCCCUUCGAGGGGAAAGCGGGGACCUUCGGGCCUCGCACUAUUAGAGCGGCCGAUAUCGGAUUAGCCCUGGUGGUGGGGUAACGGCUCACCAAGGCGACGAUCCGUAGCUGGUUUGAGAGGACGACCAGCCACACUGGGACACGAGACACGGCCCAGACUCCUACGGGAGGCAGCAGUGGGGAAUUUUGGACAAUGGGGGAAACCCUGAUCCAGCCAUCCCGCGUGUGCGAUGAAGGCCUUCGGGUUGUAAAGCACUUUUGGCAGGAAAGAAACGGCACGGGAUAAUAAUACCCCGUGCAACUGACGGUACCUGCAGAAUAAGCACCGGCUAACUACGUGCCAGCAGCCGCGGUAAUACGUAGGGUGCAAGCGUUAAUCAGGUUACUGGGCGUAAAGCGUGCGCAGGCGGUUCCGGAAAGAAGAUGUGAAAUCCAGAGCUUAACUUUGGAACUGCAUUUUUAACUACCGAGCUAGAGUGUGUCAGAGGAGGGUGGAAUUCCGCGUGUAGCAGUGAAAUGCGUAGAUAUGCGGAGGAACACCGAUGGCAAGCAGCCUCCUGGGAUAACACUGACGCUCAUGCACAACGUGGGGAGCAAACAGGAUUAGAUACCCUGGUAGUCCACGCCUAAACGUCUCAACUAGCUGUUGGGGCCUUCGGGCCUUGGUAGCGCAGCUAACGCGUGAAGUUGACCGCCUGGGAAAUACAGUCGCAAGAUUAAAAACUCAAAGGAAUUGACGGGGACCCGCACAAGCGGUGGAUGAUGUGGAUUAAUUCGAUGCAACGCGAAAAACCUUACCUACCCUUGACGUAUCACGAUCCCGAAGAGAUUUGGGAGUGCUCGCAAGAGAACCGGAACACAGGUGCUGCAUGGCUGUCGUCAGCUCGUGUCGUGAGAUGUUGGGUUAAGUCCGCAACGAGCGCAACCCUUGUCAUUAGUUGCUACGAAAGGGCGCUCUAAUGAGACUGCCGGUGACAAACCGGAGGAAGGUGGGGAUGACGUCAAGUCCUCAUGGCCCUUAUGGGUAGGGCUUCACACGUCAUACAAUGGUCGGGACAGAGGGUCGCCAACCCGCGAGAGGCCAAUCCCAGAAACCCGAUGUUAGUCCGGAUCGCAGUCUGCAACUCGACUGCGUGAAGUCGGAAUCGCUAGUAAUCGCGGAUCAGCAUGUCGCAGUGAAAGUGAAUACACGUUCCCGGGUCUUGUACACACACCGCCCGUCACACCAUGGGAGUGGGUUUACCAAGUAGUUAGCCUAACCGUAAGGAGGGCGAUUACCACGGUAGGAUUCAUGACUGGGGUGAAGUCGUAACAAG
This 1487-nucleotide ribosomal RNA is filed under the name uncultured Bordetella sp. RNAcentral's name for it is "partial 16S-23S ribosomal RNA intergenic spacer". It matches the Rfam family "Bacterial small subunit ribosomal RNA". Lineage: Bacteria; Pseudomonadati; Pseudomonadota; Betaproteobacteria; Burkholderiales; Alcaligenaceae. The record is from RNAcentral.